Molecule: ribosomal RNA, 253 nt
Filed under: uncultured bacterium
Lineage: Bacteria
Description: partial 16S ribosomal RNA
Rfam family: Bacterial small subunit ribosomal RNA
Source: RNAcentral
UACGUAGGGUGCAAGCGUUAAUCGGAAUUACUGGGCGUAAAGCGUGCGCAGGCGGUGAUGUAAGUCAGAUGUGAAAUCCCCGGGCUCAACCUGGGAACUGCAUUUGUGACUGCAUCGCUGGAGUGCGGCAGAGGGGGAUGGAAUUCCGCGUGUAGCAGUGAAAUGCGUAGAUAUGCGGAGGAACACCGAUGGCGAAGGCAAUCCCCUGGGCCUGCACUGACGCUCAGGCACGAAAGCGUGGGGAGCAAACAGG